UACGUAGGUGACAAGCGUUGUCCGGAUUUACUGGGCGUAAAGAGCGCGCAGGCGGUCGUUCAAGUCGAGUGUGAAAGCCCCCGGCUCAACUGGGGAGGGUCAUUCGAUACUGAUCGACUCGAAGGCAGGAGAGGGAAGUGGAAUUCCCGGUGUAGCGGUGGAAUGCGUAGAGAUCGGGAAGAACACCCGUGGCGAAGGCGACAUGCUGGGUUGCACCUGACGCUGAGUUGCGAAAGUGUGGGGAGCAAACGGG
Molecule: ribosomal RNA, 253 nt
Filed under: uncultured bacterium
Lineage: Bacteria
Description: partial 16S ribosomal RNA
Rfam family: Bacterial small subunit ribosomal RNA
Source: RNAcentral